UUCUUUAUCAUACCUAUUUAUACUACUUGUAAACUUAUAACCUGCAUCCUACUAUUUUCAUAGGCUUCUCCUUUAAAUUAUUGAUGUUCGACAUUAUUGAACGACAAAAAAUGAUACAAUCCAUCCAAAACAUUGUGUUCAUUAAAACAAUAUGAUACAACACAAUCCUAUACAAUGUCAUACAUUAUGAAUAAAUAUAUAACAACGAUCCGAACAGAGUGUUGAAGGGUGGUUGCCCCUCGUUCUGCCACAAAGUGGAAAACGGAUUUAACUGUUGUGGAUAUGAACCAUGAAGAGGCAGUUAUGAUAAUUAUAUUUGGGCUAACCAAUUUGGGCAUGGAGAUGACCUGUUCCAAUCUUGGCGUGGCAACCCAGUAUGAAAUGUGAUUGAGACUUCUCUCCCAUGCAACUGGCGUUUGCAGCCAUGUUCUGGCUGGCUUCUCUUUUGCCUUAUCAUAAAACACAUCUGGGCACCUUUUGCUCGGAAAGAGAGGAGAAAAAGAAUGUUUUUCUGUGAUAUAAUUUUAGUAUAUGUUGAACCUGCCAUUUUCUGAUACAAUAAUGUAUCACCAUGUGUUCCGUAUUUGCUGAACAUAGCAUAGAAGGUAAGAAAAAUGAGGAAUCAGAGAGGUUGGGAUUUCCUGUAAAGGGUGGUUGCCCCUCUCUGCUAUGCCCAUGAUUCUCCAUUCAUAACCAAAAAAACCAACAGCCCUUUGUUAUAAACAAAAUAAAAUAAAAUUCUUUGUGCUGCUGCUGCUGCUUAUCUUGUAAAGAGGCUGUGAAGAGUUAUGGUCUACGUUCAAUCUCGACAUUGAGAAAUAUCCGACCUGUAUAUUGGCUGCGGGACCCAGUAUGUCUUUAUGUAGCUAACUGUUGUCUGCAGCCAUGUUGUGGUCACCUUCUCUUUUGCUGUGGUACAAAAACACAAAAUCUGAGCCUAUGACCAUUCAUUGUCUUCAAGAGACAGUUCAUUAUUGAAGGUGAAAAAUUCCAAAGAGUUUACCCAAAAUACGGAAGGUUACCCAGAAAGACUGAAAGAAAUGAGGCAAAACGGAGGGUAGCGAGACUUUCUUUAAAGGGUGGUUGCUCCUAUCCGUUUUUCCAUUGAUUUUCCUCCAUUAUCAAACAACCAACAACGCUUUGUUUCAUGAGAAAAAGAGAAAGAGAAAAUACGAAAUGCAAAAUGGAUUUAACUUAUAUACACAUCUUUUCUUGUGUGUGUGUGUACAUGUGUUUACUGUGUUGAUGAAAGGUACAUAAAGAGGCAGUGAUGAUGAUGUUUCUAUAUCUGGGCUAACCAAUUUGGGCCUGGAGAUGACCCAUCCCGUAUCUUGGUGUGGCAACACGGUAUGGCCUGUGAUUGGGACUUCUCUCCCAGGCAAACGGGGUUUGCAGCCAUGGCGUGGGUGGCUUCUCUUUUGCCUUAUCAUAAAAUACAUCUAUGCCCCAUUUGCUUUAAAAGAGGAAAAAAAAGGAACUUUUCGGUGAUUUAAUUUUAUGUUGAACCUGUAAUUUUCUGCUACAAGCUAUAAAUCAUCUUAUAGUCCCAAUGUAUCACCAUAUUUGUUCACUGUCAGCUGAUCAUGGCCUUGAAAGGAUGAAGAAUGAGGCAUCAUAGGGAUUGGGGUUUUCCUUAAAGGGUGGGUUGCCCCUCUGCUAUGCCAGUGAUUUCCAUUGAUAUCCAAAAAAUUAACAGCUCUUUGAAGACAACAAGAUAGGAAAAAAACAAAAUCGUCAUCCAAACAUGUCCUUUUGGAACAGUUACAGUCAUUGCAUUGAGAUUAUUGGACCCCACUUAUGGGAUACACUAGGUAUGCUUUUUGUUGCUUGAGUAUAUUAUUCACAGCUCGCUUGGAUGGUUGUUAUCGUGACAGUGUUUCUGUGCCCUUCAAAUAUUUUUCUUUUCUUUUUUAAUGCUUUUGCAUAGCAUUGUAUGUUGACGGUGGGAGUGGUAGAAGCGAUGGUGGUGAGUAUAAUCAGUCUGCUUGAAAGAGGUGAGACAAUGAUUUUGAUCAAAUUUUAAUUCCCUUCUGAGCUGAUUAAUUGCACAUUUGAGGUUAUCUGAUCCUUAAAGAAUUCUGAUGGUCUUGCAGCCAUGGCAUUGCUGGGACUCUCUUUUUGAAAGUUGAUGUUAGUGUUUGUUUUGUUCUUUCUCUUUUAUUUGGCUCGUAGCUAUUCUCUUCUGAUCCCAUUGAUGUUUGAAACGCUUAUUAUGUCGAGAUUUUUUUUUAUUUGAGUCGGAUGUAUGACAGAAAAUGAGUCUUGUCCUUAAAGAUUGGGUAAGGUCUAAGUACAUCCUAACCUUCGACUACACCAAGUAUGUUAUUGUUGAAUGGAUGAUGAAAAUAGCUUUUACUAACAUUUGUUAGCAGUCUUAUUGACGUCUUACUGUAAUAUUUUAGUCUUUGCUUAAUUUUACUUUGAGUUUGAGAUUUUCUUUAUUUGUCUAUUUAUGAUGUUUUUGGAGUUCGCUUACACUUUAUACAUAUUUAAUAGCAUUGAUACUACUAAAUUGUAUACUGCUAUUGUUUCUACUGCAAUGUUUUACUUUUAUCAUCUUGUUUUUGGUUUCACUAAAUUUUAUAUAUUCUGAGCUUUUAGUUCUUUAAUAUAUGCCAAAUUUGUUAUAUUAUUUUGUGUAUUAAUUUUAGCAGAGGCUUUCUACUGUUCGGCUGCAACUUCUCUUAAAUGGAGUGUUCCCAAUUAGGCUCGUCUGCGUAUUGUACUCUCUGAGAAGCUACAAAUUCGGGCAUAGCCAAGAAUGGAAGAAGAAUGAGGCGACAGAGAAUUUGGGAUUUUCUGUAAGCGGUGGUUGCCCAUCUCCAGUUUGCCAGUGAUUUCUUCGUUACACAAAAAACCAACAACCCUGUUAAAUGAUCCAGGAAACACGCGUAGGUACUCUUCUAUCUCUUCGACUUCUCUUUCUCUGCAUUUUUUGCUGCUGAUGUUGUAAUGGGGCUAUGAUGAUUGAUUGCUUCCUUUCUGGGCUAUGUUCAAUCACAGCAAUGAGAAAACCCCGACACGUAUCUUGGCAGGGCAACCCAGUUAAGGCUUUGAAUAGCAAACUGGUGUCUGCAGCCAUGGCGGCGCCGCUUUUCUUUUUUGCUUUAUUAAGAAUUACAGCAAAAUCUGAGCCCUCCAUUUCGUGUUCUUGAAUGGUGAUUUCAUUCUUGGGUCAGAAAUCCCAUUACGGGUUUGAGACGAAGAAUGAGGCAUCUGAGAAAUUGGGAUUUUCUGUGAAGGGUGGUUGCCCUUCUCUGUUUUGCCAGUGAUAUCGCCAUUCAUAACCAAAAAACAACAACAGCCCUUUAAAAUAAACAAAAUAAAUAAAUAAAAAAUUGGAUGAACUUCGUCCGAACACACACUUGUACUUUUGAUGUUGUGUUGUUGAUGAUGAUGUUGUAAAGGGGCUGUGAUGAUUGCUUGCUUCCUUUUUGAGCUUUUUUUCAAUCACGACAUUGAGAAAUCCGACCCGUGUCUUGGUGGGGCAACCUGGUUAAGGCUUUGAAUAGCAAAUUAGUGUCUGCAGCCAUGGCGUUGUCGCUCUUCUCUAUUGCUUGAUUCAAAUAUAGCAAAUCUGAGCCCUCAAUAAUUUGUUUCAUGGUUUUGGAUGGCGAGUCUUCUCUGAUGGGAAAACCUAUUAUGGGUUUGUGUUGAAAUUUCAGCUCCGAAGAAUGAGGUAUACAACAAAUGGGAAAUUCGAAGAUUAAAAAAAUAAAUAAUUUCCCUAAACAUGGAAAAGGUUAGCCUAGAAGGAAAGAAAUGAGCCAAAUUUAUCUUAUUUUAUUCUUUACCAUACCUAUUUAAAGUAGUGUUUAUCCCCAAAUUUGAUGCCCUUUUUCUAUAUCUUGAUAGUCCAAAAAUUCCGAGGCUAUGAAGUUUAUCUUAAAAACAACUGAAAAACAUUUGAGUUAAUUCCAAGUUGUGGCUUGGCAAAGAAAACUUGAAAGGUCUUUGAAGGAGGAUGAGAAAUAAUAAGUUUCUUGUAGUCCCUUCUUACGAGGCAACCAAUCUUUGCAGCCAUGCCUGUUUUAGCUCUGUUCUUUGAUUACAUAGGCGAAAAUCUGAGCCUCCUACCUCAAUUUUACUUAAUGUUUCAUGAUCUGAUCACUGAAACAGUAUCUGUUAGUGGCUUUCUUGAAUUGAUCUAAAAAUUCAGUUACUGCUUUUAAAUCUUAAAAUUGAUUUUAUUUUUCAAAAGUGUUGUGGGAUAAUUUGGUUUUCAUGAAAAAAGUGGCAAAAAAUGGCAUGGUCUCGAGUCUUGAUGUCUUCAUGUCUCCACUAACUUAUUUCUGAAAUUUGGUGACUGGUCCCAAGCAAGAUUGAUGAUAGCUAACACAGGUGAUGGUGAAUGUUGAUAGGAAAGUAAAACAUUCAUUUCUGAAAUUUGAUGACUGGUCCCAAACAAGAGUCGAUGAUAGCAAACACAGGUGACGAUGAAUGUUGAUAGGAAAGUAGAACUACUUUUAGCUUCAACUGACAAGUCUAUCUAAAGUUUGGUCUGUAAUUAACUUGGUUUAUUGGUCUUUCUUUUUCAUUAUCACUUAUCCUAAUGUUAGGUAAUUAUAACUUCUAUGCAUCAUGAGUAUAUCUCUUACAAUGAAUCCCUCAAAUUGUCAAUGCAUGGUGAAUUCUCUGUUAGCGCUCUUUUGUAAGUCAGAAUAACCUUGAGUCUCACUGGACUUUUACUUGGCAUGCUCAAAGCCUCUUGUUGCAAGGUCUUUAGCAUUUUGAAGACAAUUACAGAACUUUUGCCUUACGAUUCCAAGAAUUCUGGGAGGUGAUUCUUUAUUUUGCACUUUCUUGUGGUGCCUUUUGAGACUCUUCACUAAGAAAAUCACUGUACAUUUAGUUGGAACAGGUGUGAGAAGGGGAGGAAGAGGCUUUGAGAAGUAGUAGUAUUUUAAUAUCGUCGUCUGGAAAUAUUUGAUGUUUAGACAUCUCUUUUUGCAUUGUUCUGUAGAAUAUGAUAUUUGGAACAUGUUAUCUCUACUUUUGGCAUAUGAAAGCUGGUGUAUGGGAAAUUGAAAAAUCCAUCAAAAAGGUUUGGGAAUUAGUACCUGCUGCUAUUUUUUGGGGGAUCUGCAAUGAACGGAAUUGUAGAUGCUUUGAUGAGAUUUUAAACCUACACAUCAAGCAAAAUGCUUUAGUGAUUGAAUAGUUAUGUUGUGUAUAUGAGCAAGCUGUAAUUUUUGCUUGCAUCUUCUGGAUGCCUUAAAUGAAUUACUUUUACUUCAUCAAAAUAAGUAUUCCCAAGGUCAAAGCAAAAAUCCCCAAAAAACAUUCUUUUUUGUUGAUAUGAGUUGCUCAUCCUGACGAUGUAGUUAUUUUGGAGGAAAUCAGCUGAAGACCAGCUGAGUGCAAUGUACAUCUUCUUGGUGCACGGACAGAAAACAAAUUGCUUUAUUAUACUUAAUAAAUGGGGCUUAAAGACAUAGUUUCAUGAUGUUUAACCAUUUUCUUAAUCUUGUCCAAAUCUUGCAGACUCUUUCGGAGAUGAAGAGAAGGAACACUUUCAUACCCGGGUCUGCCGUGGCUGUAAAAAGUAAACUCUAUGCAUGAAGUUGUCAUUUGCAUAAUGAUAUGCAUAGUACUUCAGGGCAUGGAGAACUUAUUAAAAAUGGUUUGUGAUUUCUACUUCACCUCUAUUUUUAUGUCUUAUCUUCAUUUUAACUUAAUAUUUUCUGAAAUUCUAUGCAUGUUGUUAAUGAGCAAUUGUUUGUCAUCAUCAAUUUAUAUGUGAAACUUAAGGUUGUCCUAUGGCUGUGAGUUAAAGAAAUGAAAUUUGGCUCUCAAUGUGUCUAAGGUGAAAUAUUAUUGUUGUGAUUCUCACAAGGGGAAUCACAAUCGAUGCGGAAACAAAAGAAAAGAUAGAAGAAGAGACACAGAUAAGAAACAAUUGGCAACCAAAGGAUGUAUUAAUCCAAUAACCUCCAAUCUAGAUUGAGGAUUACUAUAAACUGGCAUGUCAAUGUGGUACUGUGAACAUUGCUAUAGCUUGGUCAUUUGUUUUUUUCUUGAUACAUUCACAGCUGCCGCUGACAUUUAUCAAAUUGGGUGUCCAUAUUACACAUCUAUUGCUUGAACCCCGGAAUUUAACAAAAAAUGAAAAACUUUUUUGUUCGACCAUCUUUGUUAGCUUUUAUUUCUAUUUAAACAUGAAAGUUUUUUUGUAUAGACUAGGAAAUGAUUUUGUAAAAAUGAAUACUAUGCAAUAAACAAAACUUAGAUCACAAAUAUCAUGGCCACAUAGAUCAAAUCCAAGCUUGUAACUUUAUUAUAGCUAUUUAAAUAGGUUCUUCAAUUUUGACAUAGGAUAUUAUACGAUAAAUCUAUUAAAAUUAAAAUGAAUUGAAAUUGUUUUAAUCGUUAAGAAUAAAAUCACAUGCAAUCAUUCUUAAAUCACCUUGAAAAACAUCAACAUUCAUCAUUCUUAAUAUUUAACACAACAACUUAAAGUUUAAUUACUAAAUUGAAAUCAUAAAUCCAAUACUAAAUUGGAGACACUCUUGACCAAGACUUUCUUUUUCUUUAAUUUCUAUCUUCUUUGAUAUUUGCUUGAAACUUUUAAUUUUAACGUUUAGAUGUGUUCUUCUUCACACAGGUUUUGUAUAUCAAUUUUUUUUCUAAAAUUAAGCUUAACAAAUAAUUUUAUCUAUUGACCAAUAUGCCCCUGAUUCCACUUCCCCAGAAAUUUUUGCCCUAUUUUACACACAGGUGCUCCCGGAGAAGCAACAAUUUGGAGCAUAGCAAAAAAUGGAAGGUGAAUGAGGCAAUAGAGAAUUUAAGAUUUUCUGCUAAGCCAGUGCUUUCUUCAUUAAUGGAACAGAAAGCCAAAAACCCUUUUAAAAGAACAAGAAUAACAAACAUUAUUAAUAUUUUAUUCUUCCAAACACACGCUAAUUAUACUCUUCUUCCUUCUCUUUCUCCUCUCUUUGUAUUGCUGAAUGCUGAUGUUGUAAUGGGGCUAUGGUGAUUGAUUGCUUCCCUUCUGGACUAUGUUCAAUCACGGUAUUGAGGAAAAUACGACCC
Non-coding RNA from Solanum lycopersicum (tomato), 7032 nucleotides. The record is from RefSeq and is a predicted model, not a curated record. NCBI's taxonomy places the organism in Eukaryota, Viridiplantae, Streptophyta, Magnoliopsida, Solanales, Solanaceae.